Molecule: ribosomal RNA, 254 nt
Filed under: uncultured bacterium
Lineage: Bacteria
Description: partial 16S ribosomal RNA
Rfam family: Bacterial small subunit ribosomal RNA
Source: RNAcentral
UACGGGGGGAGCAAGCGUUGUUCGGAUUUACUGGGCGUAAAGGGCGCGUAGGCGGUCAGCACAAGUCAGUUGUGAAAUCUCCGGGCUUAACUCGGAAAGGUCAACUGAUACUGUGCGACUAGAGUGCGGAAGGGGCAACUGGAAUUCUCGGUGUAGCGGUGAAAUGCGUAGAUAUCGGGAGGAACACCAGUGGCGAAAGCGGCUACCUGGCCCAUUCUUGACGCUGAGGCGCGAAAGCUAGGGGAGCAAACGGG